UGGCGUGGCGGGGACCCCCACUUCUCUCUGCCCCUCUACAGCCUCUGCCCUCGCUGCUGCAGGGAGGGGGCUGGGGUCCCACUCACCCCUGCAGCGAGGAGAGGUGGGAAUAGCCUCCCUCUCCCCUCUCGCUUGUGUGUGGAUCUGCAGAGUGCAGGGCCGCCCUCACAGGGGCAUGCAGCAGAGGGCUAAUGGGCUGCUUGAGAUGUGGUUGCAGCAUGUUGCCUUCUCCCUCCACCAGGUUGUUGCCCUGGGGAGCUUUUUCUUCUUGUACUUGCAAGGUAUUGCUCACUGUUGCUUUGGGAAAGGGAGAGAGGGCUCUUUCUGCUUCUUGAUGAUGUCCAGCCUUUAGGAGAGACUGAGAUAAUGUGAAGACUGAAGUCUUCCUAGUGCUGCAAAUACUUUGUCCGAAAGCUUGUUAUAGCUAUCUUUUCGUACAGCCUUUUUGUUUUCACCUGCUGUCUGUGUUGAAGCAGUGUGUCUUAGGCUUAAAGGUAUUUUUAUGAGCCCAUGCUGCUUUUGAUUUUUAAAAAGGCCUUUCCCACAUAGUCCUCAAAAUCACAAUUACUUGCAUUUCAGCUGUAGAAAGGGUCAGAUAGUUCAUGCUGCACAUCUUGCAAUUAUUUAAUGGUUGCAGCAUAUUUAGAUCAAUGAAUGGAUAUUAGUUUUUAUAUGGGGUAUUAAAAAGCAAUAUUUUUCAAUUUAAGAAAUCCCUAGUAGUUGGAAUUAGAGCACUAAAGAUCCUUUAAAGAAGGAUUCGACUGUCUUAAAUGCCUGAGAGAUGAAACUGGGGCCAAUAACUGAAAGAACUUGUACUUGAGAAAGGAGUUCUGUUUCAGGAAGUGAGUAAGAGGAAAUGAUCUCAGGUUGACAUCACAGAGCAUAAUCCAUGUGUGUCGUGGUAUUUUUUUCUUUUAAUGACUUAUUUGUUCAUUUUGCAAGAAACGAUGUCUUGCCCUCACAAGAGAUCUCUGACUGUCUUCAGCAUAUACUGUAGCGUAUGGGAAUUGGGAAGGCAAUAAAAUUAUGGUGACUGCCAAGAUUGAGGAGAAAGGUCACAUUGCAGAAGAAAAUACUCUGUUUGCUUUUGUGGCUUUUUUGGGGGUGAAGAGAGGGACAAGUGGAGCUGCAUAGGCUUGAGACAAGAGACUUUCACAGUAAAAAACUUUCUAAAUGUGUGGGGGGAGAGCAGUAGUCUUCUAUGUAUUUGUAAGUAAAUCAUUAUCCGUAUAUCGAUUCCAGCCAAAGACUUUUGCAACUGCUUUUCAUGUUUUCCCAUUGAGUACCAUAUAGAUCUUGUGCUCCCAUUGUGCAUAUAAAACAUGCCUGUGUUUUGCUCAGAUACCAUCCAUUUUUAUCGCUACAUAAACCAAGUCAUAAUAACUAGGAAAUCUAUCACCUCUUUCUUUUGCAGUUUAUAAAGACGAUAAACCUUAUACCUAAGGUUAUAAAGUAGCUUAACUUAAAAACAAAUAUAUGUAAGGUUUUAAACUGUGCUGUCCAACUUGGUGAUCUAAAAGCUUUACUAUUUCUCAUUCCUUAAAGCAACUGCCUGUUUUCUGUUGUACCUUAGCUUUGUGGAGAGCUGGAUAAAUUUAAAAGAUCAUCAAGCUAUGACAAAAAACACUUAUUCUGAAGAAGAGAGCUGCAAGCUUGACUUGAGGAAAAAAACCAAGACAGAAUAAAGAAGCAAAAGAGAACCUGUAAGACUCUAACCCAUCUGAAAAAACUUGUUUCUAAAGAGCCAGAGAGAUUGAACCAGCUGAUUUCCCACUUGAGUCUCUCAUCAGCUUCUGAAAAUUGGUGAUAAUAAAGGGUAACAUCCAUAUUGUAAAAGGAGCUUCUGAUAAACUGCAGUAGCUUCAUGUUGGCCGCUGUCUAUUUGAGCGAUAGCCGAAUGGCUUAUUGAUCAUAUUUCUUCUCCAUAUGCUUGCACAUUUUUUUGAAGGUGAGGUAAUUUUGGCUAGAUACUUGUUUUGUGGGAUUUGGUCAUUUAGAUAGCUAUCAGGUGUCUUAGGGGCUUAACUGUAAUAUUGGUGCGGGGGAAGAUGGGGGAUUUAAAUCAUUAUGAUUAUGCUGGUAUAACUCAGCCUAGUGAGUUCUCUUAUUACAUUUAAAAAGCCUUUUUCCAAUAGUUUCGUAAGCAGUAAUUUGAGAGUACAUUUUAGAAAAACCAAACAAACCCAGACCUUCCAAAACCAAGAGUGUUCUUCUAGAAGAAAAAUGGGUUGCUUUGCAGUUAUGCUUGUAUACUGAAAUGGGUUUAAUUAUGCCGACCCGAGCUGUUCUGUGUAAGCAAAUGACUUGUGACUUCAGCACCUUGAUCCUGAAAGAAAUAACAAAAAGCAGUUGCCAUGGGUGGAAAGGUCUGUUCUGUGCUUCUUCAUUUUGGGUCUACUUGGUCUAAUGAUUUUUAUCAUGUAUACAACUUGCUUUCACCAUUGUCUAAAGCUUAUUUAAAUGAGGUAUAGGUAGUCAGUAGGACAAGAAAAAUGGUCUUGCUUACUGGUUUCAGUGAUAGUAAAACAGUGAUACAGCAAUAUUCUGUAUUUAAAGCUGUAAGUACAAUACAGGAAUCAAUUCCACCUAGUAGUACACUCACAAAUAGCUGUGAUGUGGAAUCCUCCGAGAAGAAAUCAUUCUGUGUCUUUUGUAGAUCGUUUAUAUUGCAAGGAGUCUUGUGACCAUUUAUUUUUAACUCAGUUGAGUGCUUGUUUACCUUGUGAAGUGACAGUUUUAAUGUAAUUCUUUGUUAAACUUUCUUUUGAGGGAAGCAGUAUAUUAUCUAAGAAAAGCCAACUCAUAACUUUUUUUUCUAAAUUAGUUUCAUAUUUUUUCACAGAAUUUGGAUUGUCAUUGAGUUGUCCAAAAGUAAUUGAGGAAAAACACUGAAGCGUCCUUGACUAACCAGAUAUAGUCUGCUGAACAUACCGAUUUUGUCUGAAGUAAAAUUAAACUCGGUAUUUCUAAGGUGACUUAGAGGAGCAGCAACAAAACUUUGUUUUAUAGCUGCUUCUCUGUCUCUGAGCCUAGUAUGCUUUUUUAAUAUCUUGGUUAUUGAAUGUGGAGAGGCUUAUAUCUCUUGCCUGGGUGGUGCAUAUUUUAAUUUGAAGGUUUAAACUUUCUCAAAUAGAAUUUCUUAACCAGACUGUGCAGGUUGAAUUUUUUCUUUUCUAGAAGAGAAGGUCAUACCAUCAUACAGAAGUUGAUUUUUAUAGCUUGGGAUCUUAAUUUCAGAGGGUGAGCCAUUUGAGGGGUAAUUUUUAAUCUUUUGGGUACCUUGAAGUUUAAAAAGGGCUCACUUUGGAGCCAUGAGAGGAAAAUACAGAAAGAGCAAGAAAUACAGGAAUCUGUAUUAUAUUCUACAUGCAGAACUAAUUGUUGCUGCAUCUGAAUUACAGAGAAUCAUCUUGCUGAGUUCAGGAGGGCAUUUUGGCAGGCUGACAGCAGGGUUGGGUUUGAGCCUUAUAUUGAAUGACUUGCCACAGUUCGGCAUAUCGAAAUACAUUUUAUUGGAAUUUAAUUCAUUUUUCUCCAUGUGUCCUGGCAGUAAGAAACAUAUGAACUAUAAGCAUACUAAUACACUUCUACACGACUGUAUUGACUGUUAAUUUUCUGUGGCCUAAAAUCAUCCUCUGCAUGGGGAGGGGAAAAUAAGAAUGUGCCAUUGUCUGCUGCCUUGAUGUGUAAAGACCUGCAAGACAAGCCUAAAGGUUUUUCUAGCUUAAAAUUUAAGACCUGCCUUUGACUCUGACUGGAAAAGCAAUUAAAUGGACUGUGAGCUAAGUGUGAAAGUUGAGUAAUGGAGGAAAGAAGGGUUUGUAGUUGGUUUUUUUAAAUGUUCUACUAUUGUUAAAAUCUGUUUAACAUCAGUGACUGGCGUUUCUAAGAGGGCGCCCUUGAUCAAAGAUUCAGCAUGAGUAUUUGUAAGACUGAGAUCUAACAAUGUUCUUUGGAGGUGAUAGAAUAUCAUCAAAUAAAACCAGAGAAAAUUCGAGUUGGCAGUCUUUAAUUCCUUUUUAUUUUUUUUUAAUAUGAAAGCUCUUUUGGGGUGGUUGGGGAAGGUUACAGUAUAAAGAGCAAAAAUCCCCAGACAGCACAGUUUAAAAGGUCUUGGAGGUCACCUCUAAUGAUGAGGCAAUGAUGUAAUUGGUUUGCAUUACAUUAUUCAAGUCAUCAUCUUUCCUCCACACUAAAGCUUUUAGUUUGUGUGGAGAAAUCAUGAGUAUGAACUAGGCAGUAGGCUUGCAUUAAGCUGUGAACUCUCAUUGCAUAAAACGUGAAGCAGGAUUCCACACCUGGGGUAAUUCUGAAGCUAUUUGGCCUUUUCAGAGUUGACUAAGCUAUCUGUGUCGAUUGUGGCUCCUUUGGUCAAGCUGUGUAUUGCUCUUCUUACUAAGCUAACCCAACUGGAGUUUUAGAAUAGGAUAAGAAUCUGUCCAAGGGUAGUCAAGGCUGACUUUGUUUAUGUUCCUGACCUGCUUG
This is a non-coding RNA of Phalacrocorax carbo (great cormorant), 4485 nucleotides long. Lineage: Eukaryota; Metazoa; Chordata; Aves; Suliformes; Phalacrocoracidae. The record is from RefSeq and is a predicted model, not a curated record.